GACGAACCGUGCGAACGUUGUUCGGAAUCACUGGGCUUAAAGGGCGCGUAGGCGGGCUCGCGAGUCCGGGGUGAAAGCCCCCAGCUCAACUGGGGAAGCGCCUUGGAUACUGCGGGCCUCGAGGGGGGUAGGGGCGCGCGGAACUUCCGGUGGAGCGGUGAAAUGCGUAGAUAUCGGAAGGAACACCGGUGGCGAAAGCGGCGCGCUGGGCCCCUUCUGACGCUGAGGCGCGAAAGCUAGGGGAGCAAACGGG
RNAcentral lists this ribosomal RNA (253 nucleotides) under uncultured bacterium. RNAcentral's name for it is "partial 16S ribosomal RNA". It matches the Rfam family "Bacterial small subunit ribosomal RNA", at positions 524 to 776 of the family's 1533-position model. The record is from RNAcentral.